RNAcentral lists this ribosomal RNA (457 nucleotides) under uncultured bacterium. Its description in RNAcentral is "bacterial SSU rRNA". It matches the Rfam family "Bacterial small subunit ribosomal RNA", at positions 328 to 796 of the family's 1533-position model. The record is from RNAcentral.
UGAGUGGACUCCUACGGGAGGCAGCAGUGGGGAAUAUUGCACAAUGGGCGCAAGCCUGAUGCAGCGACGCCGCGUGAGGGAUGACGGCCUUCGGGUUGUAAACCUCUGUUAGCAGGGAAGAAGAGAGAUUGACGGUACCUGCAGAGAAAGCGCCGGCUACCUACGUGCCAGCAGCCGCGGUAAUACGUAGGGCGCGAGCGUUGUCCGGAAUUAUUGGGCGUAAAGAGCUUGUAGGCGGGUUGUCGCGUCGGCUGGAAAAGGCCGGGGCUUAACCCCGUGUAUUGCAGUGGGUACGGGCAGACUAGAGUGCAGUAGGGGAGACUGGAAUUCCUGGUGUAGCGGUGGAAUGCGCAGAUAUCAGGAGGAACACCGAUGGCGAAGGCAGGUCUCUGGGCUGUAACUGACGCUGAGAAGCGAAAGCAUGGGGAGCGAACAGGAUUAGAAACCCGAGUAGUCC